RNAcentral lists this ribosomal RNA (419 nucleotides) under bacterium. RNAcentral describes it as "partial 16S ribosomal RNA". It matches the Rfam family "Bacterial small subunit ribosomal RNA", at positions 355 to 776 of the family's 1533-position model. The record is from RNAcentral.
UGGGGGAUAUUGCACAAUGGGCGAAAGCCUGAUGCAGCGACGCCGCGUGGGGGAUGAAGGCCUUCGGGUUGUAAACUUCUUUUGCUCUGAACAAGGCAUGCUAAUGGGUGUGUUGAGUGUAGGGGUUGAUUAGCGCCGGCUAACUACGUGCCAGCAGCCGCGGUAAUACGUAGGGCGCGAGCGUUGUCCGGAAUUAUUGGGCGUAAAGGGCUUGUAGGUGGCUGGUUGCGUCUGUCGUGAAAGCUCAUGGCUUAACUGUGGGUUUGCGGUGGGUACGGGCUGGCUUGAGUGCAGUAGGGGAGGCUGGAAUUCCUGGUGUGGCGGUGGAAUGCGCAGAUAUCAGGAGGAAUACCGGUGGCGAAGGCGGGUCUCUGGGCUGUUACUGACACUGAGGAGCGAAAGCAUGGGGAGCGAACAGG